RNAcentral lists this ribosomal RNA (468 nucleotides) under uncultured bacterium. RNAcentral's name for it is "partial 16S ribosomal RNA". It matches the Rfam family "Bacterial small subunit ribosomal RNA", at positions 28 to 507 of the family's 1533-position model. The record is from RNAcentral.
GACGAACGCUGGCGGCGUGCUUAACACAUGCAAGUCGAACGGAAAGGCCCUGCUUUUGUGGGGUGCUCGAGUGGCGAACGGGUGAGUAACACGUGAGUAACCUGCCCUUGACUUUGGGAUAACUUCAGGAAACUGGGGCUAAUACCGGAUAGGAGCUCCUGCUGCUUGGUGGGGGUUGGAAAGUUUCGGCGGUUGGGGAUGGACUCGCGGCUUAUCAGCUUGUUGGUGGGGUAGUGGCUUACCAAGGCUUUGACGGGUAGCCGGCCUGAGAGGGUGACCGGCCACAUUGGGACUGAGAUACGGCCCAGACUCCUACGGGAGGCAGCAGUGGGGAAUAUUGCACAAUGGGCGGAAGCCUUAUGCAGCAACGCCGCGUGCGGGAUGACGGCCUUCGGGUUGUAAACCGCUUUCGCCUGUGACGAAGCGUGAGUGACGGUAAUGGGUAAAGAAGCACCGGCUAACUACGUG